GGGAUAUUGGACAAUGGGGGGAACCCUGAUCCAGCGACGCCGCGUGAGUGAAGAAGUAUUUCGGUAUGUAAAGCUCUGUCAGCAGGGAAGAAAGCAAUGACGGUACUUGACUAAGAAGCUCCGGCUAAAUACGUGCCAGCAGCCGCGGUAAUACGUAGGGGGCAAGCGUUAUCCGGAUUUACUGGGUGUAAAGGAAGCGUAGACGGUGAAGCAAGUCUGAAGUGAAAGGCGGGGGCUCAACCCCCGGACUGCUUUGGAAACUGUUUGACUGGAGUGCAGGAGAGGUAAGUGGAAUUCCUAGUGUAGCGGUGAAAUGCGUAGAUAUUAGGAGGAACACCAGUGGCGAAGGCGGCUUACUGGACUGUAACUGACGUUGAGGCUCGAAAGCGUGGGGAGCAAACA
Molecule: ribosomal RNA, 402 nt
Filed under: uncultured bacterium
Lineage: Bacteria
Description: bacterial SSU rRNA
Rfam family: Bacterial small subunit ribosomal RNA
Source: RNAcentral